Molecule: signal recognition particle RNA, 97 nt
Filed under: Pectobacterium carotovorum
Lineage: Bacteria; Pseudomonadati; Pseudomonadota; Gammaproteobacteria; Enterobacterales; Pectobacteriaceae
Also listed under: 4 other names
Description: signal recognition particle sRNA small type
Rfam family: Bacterial small signal recognition particle RNA
About the family: The signal recognition particle (SRP) is a universally conserved ribonucleoprotein involved in the co-translational targeting of proteins to membranes. Archaeal SRP consists of a 7S RNA and homologues of the eukaryotic SRP19 and SRP54 proteins.
Source: RNAcentral
UGUCGGUUCUCCCGCAACAUUAACCUGUGGAUUCGGUCAGGUCCGGAAGGAAGCAGCCGCAGCAGGAGACGUGUGUGCCGGGAUGUAGCUGGCAGGG